CUCUCUCUGCCAAGCAGCUUUAGGUGGUAACUGAUCUGUGACAAGCUGCCAGUCAAACAGAGCAUUUCUGAAAGCUAACACAAAAGACUGAACACUGGAAAAAAGAGAGAGGAAUAAGAAAAGAAACCAAACAGUAUCGGCUCCUCUCUCCUGCUCAUCUCUCUCACCCUCUCUCCUUCCAUUCCCUCCUAGCAAGGUUCAUGGCAGGGGCAGCUCAUAGCCUGCUAGAUAAAGAUCAGUAGCCCAUUCAAACAAGAGACUGUCCUGGCUUACUGCUGAUAAUAGAGGCAGAAGUGAGAUUGACAGUCAGAUGGAAAUUAACACAGGGCUUCCUUGAAUGCUCACAGUUCCCAUGGGAUGAACAGAGAAAGAGAGCAGAGAGAGGGGGAGAGGUAAGGAAAAGAAGAGCAGAGUAAUGAGAACAGAAGAUGUUGAACUGAAAUGUCACUACGUUCCCAACAUUCUCUAAGGAGUGCCAACAGUGCGUGUGCUGGACGGACCAGCGAUAUGUCACUUCCGCAAGCGCCGGGGAGACAUGACCGGAAACCGAGCCAUGGUGUCUGGGGCGGCGGGCGAGUUCACUCACUGUUAAGUUUUCAAUGUUCCACCUAGAAGGAAGAAACUGAACAAAGUGGAGCAAGUAGCUAAAGCCAUGACAUAUGUCCUUGUUUAACAACUCAGAGACAUGGACACUGCUAUGUCCGUACAGGAGGAUGCAAGGUUUAUAGAGGCUGAGUGCCAAAUGCAAGACUCAUUUAUUACCCAAGUCAUGACAAUGCAGGAACGCAUGAGUAGAGAGCAGCAUAAGCGUCAUAGGGAAUUGCAACAAAUGAACAUGGCGUUCUUUGAACGUUUGAUCAAUACUUCAAAAGCUCCAACCCAACACCACAGCUCACAAUACCCUGGGCAGGGUUAUUCCACAGUUAAUCCUGGCCCAUACUAUGCCCUAAAUACUGCAGCAUCUAAAGCACAAAGUUCAGAGUUUAGUGUAUACUACAAUUUAACUUAAACUUAUGGGCACAUUCAUCAACGAGUGAUAAACAGCUCCCAAAUUUUUUUUUUCUAAUAUAUAUCAGUUAGGAGCACCAACUGAUUGGCUGGUAUAAUUUAUUGCUCACAGUGAAAUUUAUCACUCAUUGAUAAAUAACCACAGUAUGGUUAAUAACAAAGUGUUUAUGCACAACUGUUUGUGCAUUAUGUUUAAUUCUAAUGGUUUACUGUAUUACAAUUUUUGUUUGGGAUGGGGUGGUACGGGUACGGGAGGAGUGAGGGUUUCUUAUGGCUGUGGUGUAUUUUGCAUAGUGUCUAAAAACCUCAAAACAAACACUUAUUUUUGUAAAUUAUACUGCAAAUAUACUGCAGGGAUUCUGUGGCUAUACAUUGUUGUAAUUGUAUCUAAAAGCCUACCAGUGUGCAUUUUUUUUUUUGGAAUUCAAAAGUUAUGUGAAACUAUAUGCAUAAGGUACCCAAAUGUGCGUAUCAGUAGACCAUCUUUUCCUU
Pseudophryne corroboree (corroboree frog) is the source of this 1500-nucleotide long non-coding RNA. RefSeq lists it as uncharacterized. The transcript has 3 exons. The record is from RefSeq and is a predicted model, not a curated record. Lineage: Eukaryota; Metazoa; Chordata; Amphibia; Anura; Myobatrachidae.